Phycisphaerae bacterium SM23_33 is the source of this 74-nucleotide non-coding RNA. The record is from Rfam. NCBI's taxonomy places the organism in Bacteria, Pseudomonadati, Planctomycetota, Phycisphaerae.
GUCCCCGUAGCUCAAUUGGACAGAGCGUCGGCCUCCGGAGCCGAAGGUUAGAGGUUCGACUCCUCUCGGGGACG